This 706-nucleotide ribosomal RNA is filed under the name Marasmius pulcherripes. Its description in RNAcentral is "eukaryotic LSU rRNA". The stretch from base 183 to 336 matches the Rfam family "5.8S ribosomal RNA". The record is from RNAcentral. Lineage: Eukaryota; Fungi; Basidiomycota; Agaricomycetes; Agaricales; Marasmiaceae.
GUGCUCGCUUUUCUUUCAAUUUUCAUCCACCUGUGCACUUUUUGUAGAGUUUUAGCUUGAGAAAUUGGGUCUCUAGGGGCUCGAAAGUAUUGGGCUCUGACUCUAUGUCUUUAUAAACUCUGAACGUAUGUCUUUGAAUGUCUUUUAUAAGGGGCUUAAUUGAACCUUUUAAAAAACUAUACAACUUUCAGCAACGGAUCUCUUGGCUCUCGCAUCGAUGAAGAACGCAGCGAAAUGCGAUAAGUAAUGUGAAUUGCAGAAUUCAGUGAAUCAUCGAAUCUUUGAACGCACCUUGCGCCUCUUGGUAUUCCGAGAGGCAUGCCUGUUUGAGUGUCAUUAAAUUCUCAACUUCAAAAGCUUUAUUGAUUUUGAAGCUUGGAUGUGGAGGCUUUGCCGGCUCUAUCAGAGUCAGCUCCUCUUAAAUGCAUUAGUGGAAACUGUUUGUAGUCUCCCACAUUAGUGUGAUAAUUAUCAGCGCUAUUGUGUCUACAAGCUCUCUGUAGUGUUCGAUUGGGAAGUUGCAUGAAUGGGCUCUUUCUGUUCUACUUGACCUACGGCUGAGUAUAGUAUCUGCUUCAAACUGUCCUAAGUCGCUGGACAACAUUUGACUAUUUUGACCUCAAAUCAGGUAGGACUACCCGCUGAACUUAAGCAUAUCAAUAAGCGGAGGAAAAGAAACUAACAAGGAUUCCCCUAGUAACUGCGA